GCCAUGCCGCGUGCAGGAAGACGGCCCUAUGGGUUGUAAACUGCUUUUAUACGGGAAGAAUAAGGGAUACGUGUAUCCUGGUGACGGUACCGUAAGAAUAAGGACCGGCUAACUCCGUGCCAGCAGCCGCGGUAAUACGGAGGGUCCGAGCGUUAUCCGGAAUUAUUGGGUUUAAAGGGUCCGCAGGCGGGCAAUUAAGUCAGAGGUGAAAUGGUGCGGCUCAACCGUAGCACUGCCUUUGAUACUGGUUGUCUUGAGUCAUGGUGGAGUGGCCGGAAUAUGUAGUGUAGCGGUGAAAUGCAUAGAUAUUACAUAGAACACCGAUCGCGAAGGCAGGUCACUAACCAUGAACUGACGCUGAUGGACGAAAGCGUGGGGAGCGAACGGGAUUAGAUACCCCGGUAGUCCACGCCGUAAACGAUGGAUACUAGCUGUCCGCUACCUUGAGUAGUGGGCGGCCAAGCGAAAGUGAUAAGUAUCCCACCUGGGGAGUACGUUCGCAAGAAUGAAACUCAAAGGAAUUGACGGGGGCCCGCACAAGCGGUGGAGCAUGUGGUUUAAUUCGAUGAUACGCGAGGAACCUUACCAGGGCUUAAAUGCAGAAUGACAGGUUUAGAGAUAGACUUUUCUUCGGACAUUUUGCAAGGUGCUGCAUGGUUGUCGUCAGCUCGUGCCGUGAGGUGUCAGGUUAAGUCCUAUAACGAGCGCAACCCCUGCCGUCAGUUGCCAGCAAGUAAAGUUGGGGACUCUGACGGGACUGCCGGUGCAAACCGCGAGGAAGGUGGGGACGACGUCAAAUCAUCACGGCCCUUACGUCCUGGGCUACACACGUGCUACAAUGGCCGGUACAGCGAGCAGCCACUCCGCAAGGAGGAGCGAAUCUAUAAAACCGGUCACAGUUCGGAUCGGGGUCUGCAACUCGACCCCGUGAAGCUGGAAUCGCUAGUAAUCGGAUAUCAGCCAUGAUCCGGUGAAUACGUUCCCGGGCCUUGUACACACCGCCCGUCAAGCCAUGGAAGCCGGGAGUGC
RNAcentral lists this ribosomal RNA (1029 nucleotides) under Eudoraea sp. 5m66. Its description in RNAcentral is "bacterial SSU rRNA". It matches the Rfam family "Bacterial small subunit ribosomal RNA", at positions 391 to 1420 of the family's 1533-position model. Lineage: Bacteria; Pseudomonadati; Bacteroidota; Flavobacteriia; Flavobacteriales; Flavobacteriaceae. The record is from RNAcentral.